Molecule: unclassified non-coding RNA, 253 nt
Filed under: uncultured Caryophanales bacterium
Lineage: Bacteria; Bacillati; Bacillota; Bacilli; Caryophanales
Description: uncultured Bacillales bacterium contains 16S-23S intergenic spacer region
Rfam family: Bacterial small subunit ribosomal RNA
Source: RNAcentral
UACGUAGGGGGCAAGCGUUGUCCGGAUUUAUUGGGCGUAAAGCGCGCGCAGGCGGUCCUUUAAGUCUGGUGUGAAAUCUUUCGGCUUAACCGCAAGCGGUCGUUGGAAACUGGGGGACUUGAGUACAGAAGAGGAGAGCGGAAUUCCACGUGUAGCGGUGAAAUGCGUAGAUAUGUGGAGGAACACCAGUGGCGGAGGCGGCUCGCUGGGCUGUAACUGACGCUGAGGCGCGAAAGCGUGGGGAGCAAACAGA